Molecule: ribosomal RNA, 446 nt
Filed under: uncultured bacterium
Lineage: Bacteria
Description: bacterial SSU rRNA
Rfam family: Bacterial small subunit ribosomal RNA
Source: RNAcentral
CCCCAGACUCCUACGGGAGGCAGCAGUGGGGGAUAUUGCACAAUGGGGGAAACCCUGAUGCAGCGACGCCGCGUGGGUGAAGAAGCGCCUCGGCGCGUAAAGCCCUGUCAGCAGGGAAGAAAAUGACGGUACCUGAAGAAGAAGCCCCGGCUAACUACGUGCCAGCAGACGCGGUAAUACGUAGGGGGCAAGCGUUAUCCGGAUUUACUGGGUGUAAAGGGGGCGCAGACGGCGAUGCAAGCCAGGAGGGAAAGCCCGGGGCCCAACCCCGGGACUGCUCUUGGAACUGCGUGGCUGGAGUGCAGGAGGGGCAGGCGGAAUUCCUGGUGUAGCGGUGAAAUGCGUAGAUAUCAGGAGGAACACCGGUGGCGAAGGCGGCCUGCUGGACUGCAACUGACGUUGAGGCCCGAAAGCGUGGGGGGCAAACAGGAUUAGAUACCCUAGUA